This 387-nucleotide ribosomal RNA is filed under the name uncultured bacterium. RNAcentral's name for it is "bacterial SSU rRNA". It matches the Rfam family "Bacterial small subunit ribosomal RNA", at positions 28 to 417 of the family's 1533-position model. The record is from RNAcentral.
GACGAACGCUGGCGGCGUGCUUAACACAUGCAAGUCGAGCGGUAAGGCCCUUUCGGGGGUACACGAGCGGCGAACGGGUGAGUAACACGUGGGUGACCUGCCCUCAGCUCUGGGAUAAGCCUGGGAAACCGGGUCUAAUACUGGAUAUGACUCCAUGACGCAUGUUGUGGGUGGAAAGCCUUGUGCGGCUGAGGAUGGGCCCGCGGCCUAUCAGCUUGUUGGUGGGGUGANGGCCUACCAAGGCGACGACGGGUAGCCGGCCUGAGAGGGCGACCGGCCACACUGGGACUGAGACACGGCCCAGACUCCUACGGGAGGCAGCAGUGGGGAAUCUUGCGCAAUGGGCGAAAGCCUGACGCAGCGACGCCGCGUGAGGGAUGACGGCCU